CAUGAGGGAUCCAUGUGAAUCCAGCACACAUCCAUGUCUCAGUAUGGCAGCAUUGACUGUGCUUCUUCCAAGCAACAUGCCUUUUUAUUCCCUCAUCUUCUGAACAGCUGUUAUUGGCAUUCAGAGAAGCACGGUGUAAAUGCCUGGACAAAAAGAGAUGGACAAUGCACUUCUCAGACAGAUGUCAGGGCAUCCAGAGAACUACUUCAAGACCACUUCCAAUCGACACUAAUACCAUGCUGAAGCAUCAGAUCAAUACUGGCUGGGAUGCUGAACCCUUCCCCUUGAAUCCGCAGCCUCAUGUCAAUUGGCUCUUUACUAAAGGAUGGAGAUGCUUCCUGGAGCUUGGAGAAAAUAUCCUUAUCUUUACCCUUUCAAGUCUCUGUCCCCAUGACCCAGCCAUUCUUUU
Molecule: long non-coding RNA, 409 nt
Filed under: Crocodylus porosus (Australian saltwater crocodile)
Lineage: Eukaryota; Metazoa; Chordata; Crocodylia; Crocodylidae
Description: lncRNA (ENSCPRG00005018055.1)
Source: RNAcentral